AUGUCCUCCUCCUCUGCUGUUCCCUCCUCCGGCCUAAACUACAACAUCUCCGAGCCUCUCACCAGGACGAACUAUGUCCUUUGGAGAGCUCAAGCCCGAUCCCAAAUACUGGGCGCCGGCUUGUAUGGCUAUGUCGACAAAACCAUAGCGGAGCCUCCCAAGACAAUCAUCGCCAAGGAUAAAGAUGGCAAGGAUCAGGAGAUGCCAAACCCUGCCUAUGCCCCCUGGCUAGUCCAGGAUCAA
This 243-nucleotide ribosomal RNA is filed under the name Triticum aestivum (bread wheat). RNAcentral describes it as "partial small subunit ribosomal RNA". Lineage: Eukaryota; Viridiplantae; Streptophyta; Magnoliopsida; Poales; Poaceae. The record is from RNAcentral.